RNA transcript from Drosophila subobscura, 1421 nucleotides. RefSeq lists it as uncharacterized. The record is from RefSeq and is a predicted model, not a curated record. The transcript has 4 exons. NCBI's taxonomy places the organism in Eukaryota, Metazoa, Arthropoda, Insecta, Diptera, Drosophilidae.
GAAAUUUUCAUUAGAUUCACGACGUUCAGAAGUUACACAACCCAAAUCUUCCAAAUUUUUUAUGUUUGUCGAAAUUGUUAAGUUCUUUUAGUUUUAUUUAGUUUUUAGUUUGUUUUUUGUGUGAGAUAAUCAUGGCAGAACUCAAAACUUUUAGUCUUUUAGCGAAUGUUUGCAAGUGUUUUCAUGUAAGGGGAAAUGCGUUUAGUUGCUGGAGUCGAGCAUUAAAUAAGAAUGCCAUAAGCACUCUGAAUAUGAAUUCGGAUACGCUGCAGGAGUCGCAAGGCAACACGGGUUGGUCGAAGAACGGUCCACUGAGCACGCUCCUAAGGAAUGUCUCCGAGUCGAUGAAGCUAAUUGAAAGGACGGGGUACGAGUGCUCAAAGGUUGCCACGCAACAGAAGGUCAAUGGCAACAUACUGCAAAGGCAUCUGCCUCAGAAGCAAAACGAGCAGCAAGUAUCGGCAAGAUCAAAUGCGUCACCAAGACCCGUGAGAGUCCAGGGAGGAUUAAAGCAAAAGCUGAUGGAUCUGAUGAAAUCCAAUAUCACGCAGAGGAAGCAAACGUUGUUUGGCUGCAAUGACUCGAGUCUGGUCAGCAAGUAUGCAAGGAUUUCGGAAAGCCGCUACGAGGGUUAUGCGUCCCAGAGCAAGCCCAAUUGGAGAGAUAGGAAAAUGGAGCCCCCAGUGGAGGGGGAGAAACCGACAUCCUACCGCCAGGAGAACGUUUGGAACAUAAAGAAAACCCCGCCGAAGGAAUAUACCACACUUCCUGAAUCCAGAUGGAUACGGGAGCAGCAAAGUCUCAAGGAGCAGCAGCGUCUCAAGGAGCAGCUAGCAGACUACAUCGACAUAGCCAGUAUCACGAAUAAAAUCAAAAGAAACGAUCGCAUAAUGCGAUGCAUACGAGGCGUGGAGCAUAACGCCCACCUCCCCGUUGACUUUAAGCCCCAGGUAUAUCGUCACGGUUAUCAUUGGAACUUGAAGCAGAGCGAAAUCAUUGCCAAAUACAAGGAUGACAAGAUACCCGAGAUGAUCAAGAUGCAACAGCAACAGAAGCGUAAGAAGGAGAUGUCCGAACGAAAGGAUCUACGCAAAGUCACGAAAAAGCAGCAGCUUCCUCAACGAACUGUAAGCGAAGUGAAGAUCAUAAACAAGGCCAAGAAAGUGAAGAAAAGUAUAAUGGAAUCCAGUUCCAAAGCUAAGUUAUCGAAAAGGUAUCCACGCAGAGGAUAAGGAGCAUUUCACAGGCCUUGAAGGACUGAACGGCCGUUCCUGGGAACUUUAGAGGGAAGAUCUUUUCCUCACUGACCAGACGAAGAACCGGGGGCUCGAGCUUUUCCAUCCUUAUAGAUAUUUUUAAUCGCAAAAUUUUAGUUCCUUAUGUAUUAGCGUUUUAGGUUUAAUAAACAAUUUUUGAAUUUU